Molecule: long non-coding RNA, 1358 nt
Organism: Oreochromis niloticus (Nile tilapia)
Lineage: Eukaryota; Metazoa; Chordata; Actinopteri; Cichliformes; Cichlidae
Exons: 3
Source: RefSeq, a predicted model, not a curated record
CUGGCACCACAGAGCGAGGAGGAUGACCACUCCACCAACAAUCUGAACAAACACAAACAGUCUGGUUAGAGCUGCUGCAUCCUUUAAACACAACCAGGACAUGACAUGACUGCACAACAACAAACUCUGAAAGUGGAUUGCGGAAACGUGUGGAGGGAGCAGCACACUGUUGUACACAUGCACCAAGGAGGACAAAACAUCACCACGUAUCAAGGAGAAGAAUCACAGCACGGGGACUGGGAAUCCACGCACUGUGGAUUGUUGGCACUGCUUCAUAGUUUCUUUUCAUUGUAAAUAAACACACUUUUUCCAUUCAGAAAAUUAUGCAUUUGGGUCGUCCUUCAAUCAUCCUUGACAAUUGUCUAAUCAAAGAUCAUUUCAUCUGAGCAGAUUUGCAAACCAACACACCUGUGCUCACACGGCAUAGUUGGUAACCUGACCCAAUUUUGGCCCUCGGUCUUAUGUUUCACAUCGCUGCUCUCAGACUAGCACAAUGUUUGAUGUAAAACCAAUUCAUCUAACUGAGGAUAUUAGUGUUGCAGAGUAUAGCGUGGUGGAAAUGAAUGGAGAGAAUCCUCCACUAAACUUUUGGAUUGGCAUUACUUUUGAUUUUUUUUUUUUUUUUUAAUAUUAAUGGCAUGCUUUAGUGUUUUUAGUGUCUUGUGUGAGGUGUGGGCCACACCCAUGUGGGAGUGGAGAUUCUACUCUAGUCCAGCUGCCAGCUAUUUGGAGUUGAGUACAGGGAGCAGCUGAUUGGGAAGGAUUGGAGCCCUUCUCUAUAAAGGGGAGAGGAAGUAGGAAGGGGGGAGGUUGUUGUUUUGUUAGUAGGACACUGUUGCAGCAGGGAAGCCUUGGAGACUCCAGGAUGAAGAGUGCACAUUUUAACCUCGCCUGGUUUUGCUUUUAAAAUAAUCUGAUGAUGCUGGAGGGAGGACUUGUUUUAAUUAGGAUUCGUGUGGAUCUGCUGGGAUAAAAACACUGGAUUGGAGGCUCUCUGUGUCCAUGGAAAGGAAACUGGCCAAGAUUUAGAGAAGUUUCAGCUUGAGAGUGGAAGCCCCAGGAUCUGGUGUGGAGACCCAUCCUUGAACAACGCCAGGCCUGAAAAUGCUGGCAACCCUGACUGCAGUGGCUUUGGGCCUUGGAUUCCAGAGCGGAGUUGUGCCUUGAGCCAGUAGUUUGACUCAGAGGGAAAAAAAAUAAAUCUUGUGUACCCCGUGCAGUGUGAGUGUGGUGGUUUCUUACUGGUCAUUAUUAGAGCUUAACACCUUCUUGUACAGAGGCCGUUUUGGGCCAUACGUAACAUUAGCAUAGUUUAUUUUGUAGAGCCCUGUAGAUGCCCGAUGAAUCACAGAUAUCUA